Phoenix dactylifera (date palm) is the source of this 6244-nucleotide non-coding RNA. The record is from RefSeq and is a predicted model, not a curated record. NCBI's taxonomy places the organism in Eukaryota, Viridiplantae, Streptophyta, Magnoliopsida, Arecales, Arecaceae.
UUGGGUAAACAGGUUACCUGUUUAUUAAACAGGCUAAACGGGUCGGGUCGGGUUACCUGUUUAAUAAAUAGGUCAGGUUUAGGUUUGUAAUUCCUGACCCAUUUAAUAAACAGGUCGGGUUCAGAUUUAUAGUUUUCUGACCCGACCUGUGUCUGACCCGACCUGUUUAUGUCUGACCCGAUCCGAUUGCCACCCCUAGAUGAGGCAUCACAUGCCUCCUCAAUUUAUUCUUCUUCAUUUACCUAAUUCAUUAUUCUACUCCUUUUAUAGAUCUUUGCAAUGAUGAUAUCAGAUUUCUUGACUUUUGCAUAAAUUGGUACUAUUAGGCAGGACCUCAUAUAUAAGGAUGAAAUAAGUUAAAGCACUCCGAAGGCUUUAUCAUGAAUAGAAGAUAAGGGUAAGGCCAAGUGCUUCGCUAAUGGGAAUUUUACAGAAUGUGGUACAACAAGACUCUGCUGAGGCUACUAGCAGAAAAUAUUGUGAGCUCUCGUAGUUAUUUAACUUUGUUUGGUAGUUGUUCCCUUGUAUGACUUUCCUUUCAUGACUUCCUUGUGUGAGCUAUAAUUGUCCAAGUUCAUUGUUUCCAUGUGUCUUUGCGAUUAUUAUCAUUUAAUCAUCGACUUAAUUUUGGUUGACUCAUCGUUUGAUCAAGUAUCUUGGUUGAUAUUUGGUUGAUGUGUGGUGCAAACAGUUCAACUUACUCAUGGCAUAAUCCUCUUGCUUGUAUGAAUUUCUGAACAAAAAUAAGAUGGCGAGAACAAACUGGAAGACCAACAUUAGCAAGCUUGCUAACAAACAGUAAUUGUUCCGCACCCAAAAAGAAUGUACAAUUUUCCAGAUUAGCAUGAAUCAUGCAGUAUUGCAAGUGGCUGAUAGAAUGGGGGGGUAUUAUUGGUUCCUCCUGAUAGAUAGUCAGGGUAGCACAAAUGGCAUGAGUUAUCAAACUUGUCUGGACAGAAAGAAGUUCUGGUAAGUCUUUCAGAUCAGAUAUGGUAUUUUUUGUCGUAUGUCGUAAUUUCUCUUUGGGGCUUACUUCUGUUAACGUCUUGCCUGUUUUUGCUAUUACAUAUGUAACGAGUUAUGUGGAAAGACACGAUAUAUGCAGCAUGGUGUAGUUCUUGUACCUUACACGUUAUUCUACGACAGAAGAUCUUUGUUAUAUUUUAGCUUUGUUGGAGGUAUUAGUCAAUUUUUUUUUACUUCAACUUGCUUCUACAUUUCCAGCCUAAGAAGGUUUCGCACAAUGGCUUUACACCAUUGAUGAUGUCUGUUCUUGCUGACUCACCGCAAUGCAUGGAGGAACUGAUCAAGGCAAACGAGCUUGUUGGCCAUAUGUGCUUUAAUAUCUCAUAGUGAGCUCAUUUCUGGUUUUUGACUGAGGCUUCAUGGGGUUUGACUGAUGAUAUAUCCAGCAAAUCUUCUUUAGACAAAUCUGAUUGGCCUAGAAAGAAAAUGUCCACCAUGUAGCAGAAUGGAAGUUCUUUGCUGAUCCAUUGAGCUUUGAUAUUACUUAUCUAAACAGCAUGAAGAUGAUUAUAUGAAAGUAAGCCUGGAUCUUUCAUCAUCUAAAUGACCAUAAUGUUCACUUAGGAGUGACCACAAAGAAAUUCAGCAAAUAAAGGAAUUCAUAAGAUCUGCUGUUCUUAAGAUCUUCAUUGAAAAAAAAUGGAGAAUUUCACACCUUUGGCCUGGCAGCAGCCUGCUUUCUAAUCAGGUGGCUCAGGGAAGGCCUAUUAAAGAAUCGUCUUGGCUCAUGAAAUUUCUUGAACAAAUUACAAACUGUGGUAGGACCACAAAAAACAAAAUUUAUCAGGGAGAGCAAAGAGAGCUCUCAUUUCUGAGAUGCGAAGAAUUCUUCAAAACAAUUUAUUAUGUAUUCUGUUCAUGUAGGCAGGCGCUGAUGUGAAUGGUAAUAUUUCCGUUGGAGUAACUCUCGUAGGAUUGUCAGCUCGUGGUGGCUUGACUGAGAUUAUCGAACGCUUACUGAAAGCUGGGGCUGAUGCAAAUAUACCUAAUAUAAAUGUCCAUUCUAUGAACUUUACAAUGCACGUGGGAACUUUCUCGUUUUAUAUUGUCAUCUCACGAACUUAGCAGCAAAAAGGGUUUCUACAACAAAUGGAUGUCAUGUACAGCAUACCAUGAGGUGGUGUAAAAGGUAAUGGUAAUUAUUGACUCUAUGAAUGACUGGUGUGUGGUGUCAAUUGAUGCAACGAAGUCGGCAUCAUUAUUGUCAAAAACUCAAGUGCGAAGACCAAUACUAGUGAUUCCUUCUCCCCUGCCCUUUUCCCUUUUACUCCUGCAACUCCCUUGUGCUUUAAUACCAGCAGAAUACUAACAUGUUGGGAAACAUUGUUGUGCUGUACAGGGUGUAGGAUGAUGUUGCAUGCCUUAUGAAACUCAUCUUUCUCUUUUCUUGUUCUUUUGCUCUGUAAAUUUCAGGAUGGGCUGAUGAAGCCAUUUGAAAUUGCUGCAGUAUUUGGUAAACGACAAGUUGUUGAAAUCCCUUUUCCUUCAACAUCCCCCAUUUCAAGUGUGCCAGACUGGAGCAUUGAUGGUAUUAUUACUGAUCUAAAAUUGAAAGUUCCCAAACAACUGGUGUGCAAUCCGGAAUCCGAGAAAAAAACUCUACGUUGUUGCCCCACUGCCCCCUACGUACAAUCCUGGAAAAAAAGACAGAGAGAGAAAGAAGAAAAGAAAACCACUAUCUGUGGAGGCCAUUUUGUUAGUACCAACUAGAUCUAGCACUAUGCACAUCAUAAUGCAUAAAGAUGAGCUUUACUUAUGUGAGUUCAGUCAUGUUUGCCAGGUUUGUUAAUCGCAUAAUUCAAUCAUGCCAUAAUAUUUACAUUGUCUAUUACAAAUUUAAAACUUUCAGAAAAAAUAUGUAAUAUACUUCAUAUGAACUCCAAACUUCAUUAUUGGAGUGAAAAUAUACUUAUGCUAUACUUGCUGCAUAGAUUUAUGCCUUGGUGGUAGAUAAUAUUAAGACGUUUCUCCCUUUGAUUUUUUUUAUUCUUGUAUCUUUUUAGAAUACUGUGACUUUUUAUGCUUACUUAUUUCAAGACAAAUACAUGUGGACCUCGAAGACUCUUGUGGAAUGACUCCUCUGCAUGUGGCUGCUGGUUGCGGACAACAAUCUACUACAAAGAUUUUGUUGAAUCACAAAGCAGAUUUAAUGUUCUAUGUUUCAUUAUCAUCACCAUGUCUUUGAUGUUCGUUUCCAUGGUCGAAAUUCUUUUGCUUAUUAUGUGGACUAUAUCACUAUCUCCAGUAUGAAUCAUCUAAAUUUAUAUGCUUAUAAGCAGCAUAUUUCGCGUAUGACUCAGGGAGACAUCAGUGUCUGUAUAUGAUUGCAUCAUUUUUAUUUUAAGUGAGGAUCUCAAGACUUCAAUCAAUGCUCAUGAUAGAACAAGUGUACAGUUGGAUUGAUCUAUAUGGCAUAUUGAUCAUGAAUAUAUGUUUGUAUGUCCACAUAGAUGUAUAUAUGACUGUAUUCAUAGAUGCAAAAUGGAGAACUCAAGCAAACUAGAUGAAAUAACUUGGCAAAAUUUUCUUACUCUACGCCAGUUUACCACAAAUUGUUUGUCACCAUAUCUUACUUCUCCAUCAUCAUCUCUUUCUCGAAAAUGCAAUUUAAUGUUUUAAACCUUCAUCCUCCUACAUUUUGGGAAAUAGUCUUCUUCACAACUGAGGUAGCUUUCAAUUUUCACACAUGUACUCCUAGUCCCAAAGCAGGGUUAAAGCUAUAGUCUGAGAAAGUCAAUUAAGUGCAUUGGAAUUGAGGUGGAUGAAGGCAAAUGAAUUGUAGUUUAGAGAUUAUGCUCAUUUGGCAACAGAAGGAUGUUCACUUUCCAAAAGAGCAUUUUUGGGGUCAGUGUCCUCCUAUAAUUGAUGGCAGUGUUGUCAUCUUGAGAUUGAAUUUGAAAAUCAAGUCCCUAUCCAAGUGCUGACAAGUUAUAAUAUUUGGACCUUAAAGAUGAAACAUGAAGGUCUGUGGCAAAUUUAUAGUUUGUAGUUCAUUUGGCAGAAAAGUGUGGCCCGUCACAGCAGGUCAACAUGGAUGAACGCGUACAACAUCUGAGGCUCGAGGCAAGUUUCAUACUUUUUUGUCUGUUAAGGCUCAAGAGAAUAGGAAGGUUGACAUAAAAGAUGAUUGAACUACUAAUAAAAACAUGUAUUUGUUAUGCACAUGUGAUUCAAAUCGUUGAAAAGCUUACCAUAUAAGCUUUUCAGUGUGUCAUGAUCAAAUUUGAGCUUGUGUCGAGGUAAUAGGUGCAAGUAAUUAAAGUUUGAACAUAUUUGGAACAAGUUCAGGGUCUGAUACUGAAAACAACUAUGUUGGCUUUAACUUUAACAUGGAUUUCUUAAUUUGACCCAAUGGAAUUAACUUAAAUUCAUGUUUUGAUUGGAUAUAUCUCCUAUCCCUUUAUGGAAUCCAGUACAAGUUUAGUGGGACAGGUUUAUUAAUUCAAUUGGUGACAGGUGAUUUUAAUAAUUCAACUCAAGGUUUUUUAUUUCUUUUCCUUUUUUCCCCUCUUUUCUUUCUUCUUUUCAGCUCAAUAUAAUGAGAAUGACAAAUUCAUGAAGGUACAACUGAUAUUCUUGUAUUUUUUUCAAUUAAAUGAAAUAUCAGACUUUUCACUCAAAUUACUAGAUGAGGCAUCACAUGCCUCCUCAAUUUAUUCUUCUUCAUUUACCUAAUUCAUUAUUAUACUCUUUUUAUAGAUCUUUGCAAUGAUGAUAUCAGAUUUCUUGACUUUUGCAUAAAUUGGUAAUAUUAGGUAGGACCUCAUAUAUAAGGAUGAAAUAAGUUAAAGUGUUCUGAAGGCUUUUUCAUGAAUGGAAGAUAAGGGUAAGGCCAAGUGCUUCACUAAUGGGAAUUCCACAGAAUGUGGUACAACAAGACUCUGCUGAGGCUACUAGCAGAAAAUAUUGUGAGCUCUCGUAGUUAUUUAACUUUGUUUGGUAGUUGUUCCCUUGUAUGACUUUCCAUUCAUGACUUCCUUGUGUGAGCUGUAAUUGUCCAAGUUCAUUGUUUCCAUGUGCCUUUGCGAUUAUUGUCAUUUAAUCAUCGACUUAAUUUUGGUUGACUCAUCGUUUGAUCAAGUAUCUUGGUUGAUAUUUGGUUGAUGUGUGGUGCAAUCAGUUCAACUUAAUCAUGGCAUAAUCCUCUCGCCUGUAUGAAUUUCUGAGCAAAAAUAAGAUGGCGAGAACAAACUGGAAGACCAACAUUAGCAAGCUUGCUAACAAACAGUAAUUUUUCCGCACCCAAAACGAAAGUACAAUUUCUCAGAUUAGCAUGAAUCUUGCAGUAUUGCAAGUGGCUGAUAGAAUGGGGGGGUAUUAUUGGUUCCUCCUGAUAGAUAGUCAGGGUAGCACAAAUGGCAUGAGUUAUCAAACUUGUCUAGACAGAAAGAAGUUCUGGUAAGUCUUUCAGAUCAGAUAUGGUAUUUUUUGUCCUAUGUCGUAAUUUCUCUUUGGGGCUUACUUCUGUUACCAUCUUGCCUGUUUUUGCUAUUACAUAUGUAACGAGUUAUGUGGAAAGAUACGAUAUAUGCAGCAUGGUGUAGUUCUUGUACCUUACACAUUAUUCUACAACAGAAGAUCUUUGUUAUAUUUUAGUUUUGUUGGAGGUAUUUGUCUAUUUUAUUUACUUCAACUUGCUUCUACAUUUCCAGCCCAGGAAGGUUUCGCACAAUGGCUUUACACCAUUGAUGAUGUCUGUUCUUGCUGACUCACUGCAAUGCAUGGAGGAACUGAUCGAGACGCUGGAUUACCGGAUUCAUGGGUUUUGACUGAUGAUAUCCAGCAAAUCUUCUUUAGACAAAUCUGAUUGGCCUAGAAAGAAAAUGUCCACCAUGUAGCAGAAUGGAAGUUCUUUGCUGAUCCAUUGAGCUUUGAUAUUACUUAUUUAAACAGCUUGAAGAUGAUUAUAUGAAAGUAAGCCUGGAUCUUUCAUCAUCUAAAUGGCCAUAAUGUUCACUUAGGAGUGACCACAAAGGAAUUCAGCAAAUGAAGGAAUUCAUAAGAUCUGCUAUUCUUAAGAUCUUCAUUGAAAAAUGACCAUACUAGUGAUUCCUUCUCCCCUGCCCUUUUCCCUUUUACUCCUGCAACUCCCUUGUGCUUGAAUACCAGCAGAAUACUAAAAUGUUGGGAAACAUUGUUGUGCUGUACAGAGUGUAAGAUUAUGUUGCAUGCCUUAUGAAACUUAUCGUUCUCUUUUCUUGUUCUUUUGCUGUGUAAA